GGCGGUUCGCUGCCGGCGACGUCGCGAGAAUUCCACUGAACCUUAUCAUUUAGAGGAAGGAGAAGUCGUAACAAGGUUUCCGUAGGUGAACCUGCGGAAGGAUCAUUGUCGAAUCCUGCAAAGCAGAACGACCCGUGCACAUGUACCAACAAUCUGGCUUUGUAGGGAUCGUGCUUUUGUUCGAGCCCUAUGAAGCCUUGUCGAUGUGUGUUCAUGGUGACCCCUUGGGGCCCUCAUGGACUUUGCAUCGGCAUAACAACAAACACCGGCACGGCAUGUGCCAAGGAAAAUUUAACUUAAGAAGGGCUCGUACGAUGAUGCCCCGUUCGCGGUGUGCGCAUUGGACGUGGCUUCUUUGUAAUCAUAAACGACUCUCGGCAACGGAUAUCUCGGCUCACGCAUCGAUGAAGAACGUAGCAAAAUGCGAUACUUGGUGUGAAUUGCAGAAUCCCGUGAACCAUCGAGUUUUUGAACGCAAGUUGCGCCCGAAGCCAUUCGGCCGAGGGCACGUCUGCCUGGGCGUCACGCAUCACGUCGCCCCCACCAACCUUUCCCUUUAGGGAUUCGUGUGAUGGGGGCGGAGAUUGGUCUCCCGUGCCUUUGGUGCGGUUGGCGAAAAUAAGAGUCCCCUUUGACGGACACACGGCUAGUGGUGGUUGAUAAGACCCUCGUCUCGUGUCGUGUGUUUUGAGUCAUAAGGGAAGACAUCUUUAGAUACCCCAACGUGUUGUCUUUUGAUGACGCUUCGAUCGCGACCCCAGGUCAGGCGGGACUACCCGCUGAGUUUAAGCAUAUCAAUAAG
This 802-nucleotide ribosomal RNA is filed under the name Centipeda aotearoana. Its description in RNAcentral is "eukaryotic LSU rRNA". The stretch from base 370 to 525 matches the Rfam family "5.8S ribosomal RNA". Lineage: Eukaryota; Viridiplantae; Streptophyta; Magnoliopsida; Asterales; Asteraceae. The record is from RNAcentral.